Non-coding RNA from Acanthosepion pharaonis, 113 nucleotides. Lineage: Eukaryota; Metazoa; Mollusca; Cephalopoda; Sepiida; Sepiidae. The record is from the annotation of a GenBank genome assembly.
UAUGGCCACAUCAUGUUGAAACACUGGUUUCUGUAUGAUCACCAAAGUCAAGCAACGUUGAUCCUAGUCAGUACCUAUAUGGGUAACUGCUUGGGAAUACCAGGAGCUGUAAG